AACGAACGCUGGCGGCGUGCCUAACACAUGCAAGUCGAACGAGAAAGGUCGCAAGACUGAGUACAGUGGCGCACGGGUGAGUAAUACAUAGGAAUCUUCCCUUUAGUGAAGAAUACCCUGGAGAAAUCCAGGCUAAUACUGCAUAAGCCCAGAAAUGGGGAAAGGUGGCCUCAAGCUACCGCUGAAGGAUGAGCCUGUGUCCUAUUAGUUAGUUGGCAGGGUAAUGGCCUACCAAGACAAAGAUGGGUAUCCGGCCUGAGAGGGUGUACGGACACACUGGAACUGAAACACGGUCCAGACUCCUACGGGAGGCAGCAGUGGGAAUAUGCACAAUGGGCGCAAGCCUGAUGCAGCGACGCCGCGUGGAGGAUGACGGUCUUCGGAUUGUAAACUCCUG
Molecule: ribosomal RNA, 397 nt
Filed under: uncultured bacterium
Lineage: Bacteria
Description: bacterial SSU rRNA
Rfam family: Bacterial small subunit ribosomal RNA
Source: RNAcentral